RNAcentral lists this ribosomal RNA (254 nucleotides) under uncultured bacterium. RNAcentral's name for it is "partial 16S ribosomal RNA". It matches the Rfam family "Bacterial small subunit ribosomal RNA", at positions 524 to 776 of the family's 1533-position model. The record is from RNAcentral.
CACGUAGGGUGCGAGCGUUGUCCGGAAUUAUUGGGCGUAAAGAGCUCGUAGGCGGUGUGUCGCGUCGGCCGUGAAAACCUGUGGCUUAACUGCGGGCUUGCGGUCGAUACGGGCAUCACUGGAGUUCGGCAGGGGAGACUGGAAUUCCUGGUGUAGCGGUGAAAUGCGCAGAUAUCAGGAGGAACACCGGUGGCGAAGGCGGCUUUCUGGGCCUUACCUGACGCUGAGGAGCGAAAGCUGGGGGAGCGAACAGG